Molecule: ribosomal RNA, 447 nt
Filed under: uncultured bacterium
Lineage: Bacteria
Description: bacterial SSU rRNA
Rfam family: Bacterial small subunit ribosomal RNA
Source: RNAcentral
UGGGGAAUAUUGGACAAUGGGCGCAAGCCUGAUCCAGCCAUGCCGCGUGAACGAUGAAGGCCUUAGGGUUGUAAAGUUCUUUUGUCAGGGAAGAUAAUGACGGUACCUGAAGAAUAAGCACCGGCUAACUUCGUGCCAGCAGCCGCGGUAAUACGAAGGGUGCUAGCGUUGUUCGGAAUCACUGGGCGUAAAGCGCGCGUAGGCGGCGAUAUAAGUCAGAGGUGAAAGCCUGGAGCUCAACCUCGGAACUGCCUUUGAUACUGUAGAUCUCGAGUCCGGAAGAGGUGAGUGGAAUUCCUAGUGUAGAGGUGAAAUUCGUAGAUAUUAGGAAGAACACCAGUGGCGAAGGCGGCUCACUGGUCCGGUACUGACGCUGAGGUGCGAAAGCGUGGGGAGCAAACAGGAUUAGAUACCCUUGUAGUCCCUGAGCGGGCUGGCAAGGCGCAU